This is a long non-coding RNA of Mesocricetus auratus (golden hamster), 4715 nucleotides long. RefSeq lists it as uncharacterized. The record is from RefSeq and is a predicted model, not a curated record. The transcript is spliced from 3 exons. Lineage: Eukaryota; Metazoa; Chordata; Mammalia; Rodentia; Cricetidae.
CGCGCCGCCCGCGCUCACCUGCAUUUCCUUAACGAGCCACUUGAUGGCUGCGGCGGCGCGGCCGCUCCGGGCAGGACCGGCUGGGGGGUGCGGCGGGCUCCUGAGGCAACAGAGAACCGAGUCCCGGUAACCAGACCCGGCCUCGACCCCGGGCUGGGCGCUGAGAGCACCUGCCGGCAACCGGGUGCCGAGCAGCGUCGGGCCAGAUGCGCGCUUCACCAUGAGUCCGAGACUCUCCACUCUGGGUUUCCUUGAAGGGAGGCUGGCGGAAGCUUUUAACAAGAUGCAGCUGAGCGUGUCGAUAUCUCACAUCGUUUUACUGUUGUAUGGGCUGCUCAGCUACUUGAGGCUCCUCACUACUUCAGACAAGCCCUGGCACCUUCCAGAGACAGUGUUCUCAGGCUUGAUUUACACUCACUGUUGCAACCAUCCUUUGGUGCCCUCUGGAAAAACAUGGGACAUUGCAAGUCAAGGAAGAGUGGGUGUUGAACUGAAGUCCCUUCCUGCUCCUUCCCUCCAAAAGCACAGUAUUAUGAUGGUACAUUCUUAAACAAGUUUCAAAUGAGAUAUUGAAUGAUCGACUGCUGUACUCAGAAGAGAAAUAAGACAAGAAAUAUGACUUAAACAAGCAAACAAACAUGUCUUCUAGAAAACAUGAAAAGACCCACUUUGAGGGGCAUCCUCUUCAGGGGUCCUCUCCAGACUCCCCGUGUUGCUCAGCACUGCAGUCCCGUGCUCCUUUCCACAUGCUCCCUGCCGUCCAGUCCAUGCCUGCACUGUUUCACAGUCGUUUAUUGUGUUGCAAAAGGGACAGCUACAAAUGCUGAAAGAGUGCAGAGACUCAGAGUCCGAGAGCAAGUGGGGGAUGUGAGGGAAGCAUAGAGAUAAGAUUUAAGACAUUUAUUAAAGGAUGAUCUCCGGAGCGACUACAAUAUAUGGAGAAGCCAGAAAAGAGAGAAAACACUGUAGUGGAGUGUUGCUGAGGGAAAUGACGCAGGGCCUCCUCACGGUUCCUUUGAAAUGUUUGCCAUUAGAACCAGAAAUGUAUUUUUCUUUCUUCUUUUUAAACCUUUCAUUACUUUGGACAUUCAAAACUCACUGUGUGAAGCUUGGAAGUGGGAAAUGGGUGGCAUGUACAUGCAUUUAUAGGGGUUUGGGCUCUCAUUUAUAUAUAAUUCCUAAGUUAUUCUUACAGUGUACCGACUUGAUUUUUUUAUCCAGAUAUGACAUAUAAGUUUCAAGCGUAUUACAUACAUUUUCAUUUAUAAUUUCAUGGAUUGUGUUUCUAAAUGAUAUUUUAGCUAAAUUUCUGGUAAUAAAAUAUAAUACUUCAAUUGAAAAUUUACCUAAAUGAUAUAUUUCCAAAUAUUUCGUGAUGUGUGUAUUAUGGGAUUUUCAAAAUGUAAGUGUUCAGACAUAAUUAUCAAGAUAUCAAAAAACAAAGUGGGGUUUUGUGGCACUGCCAUAAACCUGUGCAAACGUAUUCAUUUUUGUUCCAUGAUAGAAAAAGUUUUGAAUCUGAACAAAGGCUAAAUUAUAUUCUGACAAUCAAAUUGGUAUUUUGGGCAUUUUUAUUUCCUAAAGUUUUACCUCAGUCUCACUUGUUGAGUCCCGUGAAAAACUUUGAUGCCACACACCUAGGAAAACAUUCGCUUGUGGGGCACCAGGCAGGCUGGCCUUCCUUAGUUGCCUUGCAGUUGUGAUCCACAGCAUCCGAAGCAGUGCAGCCCCUUUGUAGCCUUCUGUAGAUUAUGUGGACCAAACCUGUACAUCUUUUGGUACAGCAGGAAGGAAGGCUCCACAUUUUAUAGGUUUAACCAAAACAAAUAUUUUGGGGGUUUGUUUUAUAUGAAAUAGAUAAUGUUUAUUUAGAAGAUACCAGAACCUAAAUCUCCAAUGCUUGGACACAAACAAUUCAGAAGUCUUAGAGCGUGUAAUUAGAUUUAAAGUGUAGCAUUUAAUAAAAUUCAUUGAUAAAUUUCAACCAACAUCUUAACACAGAUUGUUCAACAACAUCUAGAUGUGAACAACAGGAAUAAUUUCUGGACUUUUGAAAAGCCAUAAUUGUCAAUGAAAUAUUAAAUUAAGAAAAUCCUUAGGGGCUUAGUAGUUAAAAAGCAAUUACUGCUCUUCCAGAGUAGCUGUGUUCAACCCCUAACAUCCACAUGCUGUCUCACAACCAUCUCUAACUCUAGUUCCAGUAAAUCUAAUGCCCUUUGCAGAUGCCACAUAAACCUACAAUGUAGAAAACAAUGUCAAAAGAAGUUCUCUAAAAAUUCUGUAAAUUUCUCUAAGCAUGUUUUAAUGGCAUAACCAAAUACAGGAAAUUAAAUAUGUUAAUAGCCGACCAAUUGCAUUGCUUGGGUCCUUGAAAAUACAGAUCAGUAACAAAAUAGGUAACUGGAAUAAUAUGAAAGAAAUCUCACUUAUAUUGUGAGAAUUCUUUCAGAAGCCUGGACUAGCAAUUAUUCUAUCAAGGAAACUAGAAAAGGCCAUGAUGUGGUAGAGAGAAACAGCCUCCAGACCUCUAAGCAAGGUUUUCUGUAAGUGGUAACAAAGUUUCGUGAGCCAGAAAAACAAACACAAUUUGUGGGCUUAUAUAGCAGAGUGUCCUUUUGGAGAUUAGUAAAGUAAAACAUAUUUUAAAAAUACCAGGAUGAAUGCAGGAGGUAUUACCUUAAGAAAUCUUCAAAAGUCAACAGAAAACAAGCCUAGGAGACAGUGUUUGUACCCCAAGAUUAGGAGUGUUUGGAAGCAGUAGUAUGAAGGGGAGAUGAAUAAAAUGGAAAGGGCAUUUAAACUGAGAAGGGAGAAUUUUGUGAAGAGGAAGAAAUAACACAAAGCCACUAAGGAUUUAUAAAAAUGCCACAGGGAAACGUAUAUAUUAUGCUUUUAUUUCACUUACAGAUGGUAUGUGAUGAAGUUAUGCCAUUUGCGAUAAUACACCCACCACGACCCUAGACCAUCUAACAAUUGUUGAUCAAGGGAAACCUCUCCUUGGACUCCUGGUCAAGGGAGUUCAAGAAAUACCAAAAUAAUUUGUGCUAAUGACUUUGUCCUUCACUGUCUCACAGAAAUUGAAUAUAAGACCCUAUUGCUGAAGAUUCCACAUCAGUGGCUAUAGGACGGAGCUGACCUGAAAGCCUCUUCUUGGAGGACUAGCUCUUGUAGUAUCUGAAUGUUCUUUAUAAGCUGCCAAGAGAAAAAGUAGCAUUCCUAUCCAUCUAUGUGGUCGAAGAAAAACAAGAUAUCCCUAAGUGUGAAUAAUGGCACUUAUAUAUUGGGAGUCACGGAUAGCUGCCUAAUUGGGCUUAAUGUCCACUCAAUAAGUGAGAAUUCAUGUCUGAUUCUCUAAAGCCAUGUCUGGUGACAUAUGAAACCUAGAGAAGUUACGACUUUCAGUUUCCUAAAUAUUCUGAAUAUUUAUCCUUAUACCCAAAAUGAGUGUAGCUCUCACCUCUCAACAGCAAAGCCUUUUGCACUGGAAAACAUUACAGCAAGCAAUGGCUGGUCGAGACUCAGAGAACAACACAGUAGGGUGCCUAACUCAAUCUACAUCUACAACAAAAUCCUUCCACCUGAGGCUUAGAGAACAGGGCAGAAGGAUGUAGCAGUCAGAGUGCCAGGAAUCUGCUGUCAGGCAAGGGAAAGCUGAACCCAUGAAAUCUCAAAAAUUAUGAUCGCUUAAUCACAACUUUCACAACGACAAUACCAGUUGACAUGUCAACAUGGAUGAGGUAUUCCUGUCAGAUGAAGAGCUGUGACAACUAAUGACUUACGAGGAAAGAGAAUCAGUCUUCUAUAAGGAAAGAGUCGCAUAAUUGGUUCUAAAAUGUUAUGCAGCUUUCAAUACUAAAUAUAUACACAUAGGAGCAACACUAAAUGGACUCAGCCGUGUGUGAGUGAGUGCGUGUGUAUUUGUGCAUGUAUGCAGGUAAGGAGGUUAUGAUGAAUGCAAGAGGGGAAGGCUGAGAUGGAAGAUGGAGUAGAAAUUAUGUAAAUACAGUAUUCAUGAUGUUCUCAAACUGAACCUUUCAAAGACAACAUACUCUUGGGGAGAGGAACAAAACUGAAAACAGACUAUACUAUGAAAAUACAUUCUUCUGAGGAGGAGGGUGCCAUAAAAAACUAAACAGAUAUAAAUCAAGUUUAGGGAAACUGAGAAAUGAGUAGCAGUUUAUUUUAUAAUUAGGAAAAUUCACUUGAAAGCUGGAGUCCUAAUGCUGGGAAUUACUAUUGAAUACCAAGUUGUAAUUAAUAUGUGCCUAUUUCUCAAAAUAGUUUUACAUUAUUAAGUGCAGUAACCCAAACUCAGAAAGACAAAUGCCAUGUGUUUUCUCUCAUAUAUAGAUGGUAGACUUUUUAGAUUUGUGUUUAUAUAUAUAUGUGGGGAUGAUGUAAAAGCAUAGAUCAUGAAGCUAGAAUGGUGGAGCCAUAGGAGGGUGAAAGUUUACAGAUCACAGCAAGGAAACCCAGGUCAAAGAAUGCAUGAAAAGGGAAAGAAGAAUAUGUAAUCGGGACACCUUCUGUGGGGGGAGGAGUAUAAAAGGGCAGGGGCCAGAGGAGAGGAUCCAUAAAAUCAAGCUAUGUGUAGAAAUGCAGUAAUAAAUUCCACUGAUUUGCAUUCUAGUAAACUGUAAAACGAACAGUAUUUAAUGACAGAAAUGUACCCUUGCAACCAUGUUAGUUAAGGUGCAAUAAAUGUGUUUCUGCAA